UACGUAGGCAGCAAGCGUUGUUCGGAGUUACUGGGCGUAAAGAGUGCGUAGGUGGUGCCCUAAGUCUGUUGUGAAAUCUCCCGGCUUAACUGGGAGGGUGCGGUGGAAACUGGGGUGCUUGAGUGUGGGAGAGGUAAGCGGAAUUCCUGGUGUAGCGGUGAAAUGCGUAGAUAUCUGGAGGAACACCGGUGGCGAAGGCGGCAUCCUGGACCAACACUGACACUGAGGAGCGAAAGCCAGGGGAGCAAACGGG
Molecule: ribosomal RNA, 253 nt
Filed under: uncultured bacterium
Lineage: Bacteria
Description: partial 16S ribosomal RNA
Rfam family: Bacterial small subunit ribosomal RNA
Source: RNAcentral